AUACGUAUGUCGCAAGCGUUAUCCGGAUUUAUUGGGCGUAAAGCGCGUCUAGGCGGCUUAGUAAGUCUGAUGUGAAAAUGCGGGGCUCAACCCCGUAUUGCGUUGGAAACUGCUAAACUAGAGUACUGGAGAGGUAGGCGGAACUACAAGUGUAGAGGUGAAAUUCGUAGAUAUUUGUAGGAAUGCCGAUGGGGAAGCCAGCCUACUGGACAGAUACUGACGCUAAAGCGCGAAAGCGUGGGUAGCAAACAGGAUUAGAUACCCUGGUAGUCCACGCCGUAAACGAUGAUUACUAGGUGUUGGGGGUCGAACCUUAGCGCCCAAGCUAACGCGAUAAGUAAUCCGCCUGGGGAGUACGUACGCAAGUAUGAAACUCAAAGGAAUUGACGGGG
RNAcentral lists this ribosomal RNA (392 nucleotides) under uncultured bacterium. RNAcentral's name for it is "partial 16S ribosomal RNA". It matches the Rfam family "Bacterial small subunit ribosomal RNA", at positions 523 to 918 of the family's 1533-position model. The record is from RNAcentral.